UACGUAGGGUGCGAGCGUUAAUCGGAAUUACUGGGCGUAAAGCGUGCGCAGGCGGUCUUGUAAGACAGGCGUGAAAUCCCCGGGCUCAACCUGGGAAUUGCGCUUGUGACUGCAAGGCUGGAGUGCGGCAGAGGGGGAUGGAAUUCCGCGUGUAGCAGUGAAAUGCGUAGAUAUGCGGAGGAACACCGAUGGCGAAGGCAAUCCCCUGGGCCUGCACUGACGCUCAUGCACGAAAGCGUGGGGAGCAAACAGGAUUAGAUACCCUGGUAGUCCACGCCCUAAACGAUGUCAACUGGUUGUUGGGUCUCUUCUGACUCAGUAACGAAGCUAACGCGUGAAGUUGACCGCCUGGGGAGUACGGCCGCAAGGUUGAA
This 374-nucleotide ribosomal RNA is filed under the name uncultured bacterium. RNAcentral's name for it is "bacterial SSU rRNA". It matches the Rfam family "Bacterial small subunit ribosomal RNA", at positions 524 to 898 of the family's 1533-position model. The record is from RNAcentral.